This 440-nucleotide ribosomal RNA is filed under the name uncultured bacterium. RNAcentral's name for it is "partial 16S ribosomal RNA". It matches the Rfam family "Bacterial small subunit ribosomal RNA", at positions 338 to 795 of the family's 1533-position model. The record is from RNAcentral.
CCUACGGGUGGCAGCAGUGGGGAAUAUUGCACAAUGGGGGAAACCCUGAUGCAGCGACGCCGCGUGAGUGAAGAAGUAUUUCGGUAUGUAAAGCUCUAUCAGCAGGGAAGAAAAUGACGGUACCUGAUUAAGAAGCCCCGGCUAACUACGUGCCAGCAGCCGCGGUAAUACGUAGGGGGCAAGCGUUAUCCGGAUUUACUGGGUGUAAAGGGAGCGUAGACGGUGAUGCAAGUCAGAAGUGAAAGCCCGGGGCUCAACUCCGGGACUGCUUUUGAAACUGUGUGACUGGAGUGCAGGAGAGGUAAGCGGAAUUCCUGGUGUAGCGGUGAAAUGCAUAGAUAUCACGCAGAACCCCGAUUGCGAAGGCAGCCUUCCGGCGCCCUACUGACGCUGAGGCACGAAAGUGCGGGGAUCGAACAGGAUUAGAUACCCCAGUAGUC